UUUUUUUUCUUUUAAAUUUAGUUUCUGUAUCUUGUGCCUGGUAUCCGACGUUAGUUACAGAAUAAACAGUACUUUGCAAAGACUGACAGGGUCAGCUGCUCUGGGAAUGUGACCGGUGACCUCCCGGAUGGAUUAUCGUCCUGCAGGCUGCUUCCAAGUCAGUUGAAAGAUGCACAGACAGAUGAGAAGAUAAGCAUCAGAGGAAUUUUUCAGAAGAAGAGUCCCCAGCUACUGCUUGAGAGUUUACAGUUGCCAAAUCUGAUAAACAGACUCAGGUAGGGGAGCUGGGAAAACUAGAAAAUUCUGGGGACUGGUCUCUGCAUUU
RNAcentral lists this long non-coding RNA (325 nucleotides) under Mustela putorius furo (domestic ferret). RNAcentral's name for it is "lncRNA (ENSMPUG00000023875.1)". Lineage: Eukaryota; Metazoa; Chordata; Mammalia; Carnivora; Mustelidae. The record is from RNAcentral.